Molecule: ribosomal RNA, 787 nt
Filed under: uncultured bacterium
Lineage: Bacteria
Description: bacterial SSU rRNA
Rfam family: Bacterial small subunit ribosomal RNA
Source: RNAcentral
UCGAACGAAUCCCCGUGGGGGUAACUCUGCGGGGGGAAGUGGCGAAAGGGGCAGUAAGGCGUGGCUAACCUACCCCGGGGACGGGGAUAGCCCUCCUAACGGAGGGGUAAUACCCGGCGAGUCGGCGAGGGGGCAUCCCCUUGCCGGGAAACGAGUUUCGCCUCGGGAGGGGGUCACGUGCUAUUACCUAGUUGGCGGGGUAACGGCCCACCAAGGGAAAGAUGGCUAGCGGGUGUGAGAGCACGACCCGCGCCACUGGCACUGAGACACUGGCCAGACUCCUACGGGAGGCUGCAGUCGAGGAUCUUCGGCAAUGGGCGCAAGCCUGACCGAGCGACGCCGCGUGUGCGACGAAGGCCUUCGGGUUGUAAAGCACUGUCGAGGGGGAGGAAAGCCGCAAGGUCUGACCUAUCCCUGGAGGAAGCACGGGCUAAGUUCGUGCCAGCAGCCGCGGUAAGACGAACCGUGCAAACGUUGUUCGGAAUCACUGGGCUUAAAGGGCGCGUAGGCGGCCUCGCAAGUCGGGGGUGAAAUCUUUCGGCUCAACCGGAAAAGUGCCCCCGAUACUGCAGGGCUCGAGGGGGAUAGGGGCGGACGGAACUUCCGGUGGAGCGGUGAAAUGCGUUGAUAUCGGAAGGAACGCCGGUGGCGAAAGCGGUCCGCUGGGUCCCUACUGACGCUGAGGCGCGAAAGCCAGGGGAGCAAACGGGAUUAGGUACCCCGGUAGUCCUGGCCCUAAACGAUGGGUACUAGGCCGUGGGCUUGACAUGGGCUCCCAGCCGAAGCA